RNAcentral lists this ribosomal RNA (858 nucleotides) under Verrucomicrobia bacterium SCGC AAA240-D15. RNAcentral's name for it is "SSU rRNA". It matches the Rfam family "Bacterial small subunit ribosomal RNA", at positions 33 to 898 of the family's 1533-position model. Lineage: Bacteria; Pseudomonadati; Verrucomicrobiota. The record is from RNAcentral.
ACGCUGGCGGCGUGGAUAAGACAUGCAAGUCGGGCUAUGAUGCGACUGAUGGUAACAUUGAAGUCAAAUAGCGGCGAACGGGUGAGUAACACGUAAGAAUCUGCCCAGAAGACGGUGAUAACCCAAGGAAACUCGGGAUAAUAACCGAUGUGGAGGCAACUCUAAAGGUGGCCGCCGCUUCUGGAUGAGCUUGCGGUCCAUCAGCUUGUUGGUGAGGUAACGGCUCACCAAGGCAAUGACGGAUAGCUGGUCUGAGAGGAUGGUCAGCCACACUGGAACUGAGACACGGUCCAGACACCUACGGGUGGCAGCAGUCGAGAAUCUUGGUCAAUGGGGGAAACCCUGAACCAGCGACGCCGCGUGGGGGAUGAAGGCCUUCGGGUCGUAAACCCCUGUCAGCUGUGAGUAAGGCCCAGCUUCGGUUGGGAUUGAUAUUAGCAGCAAAGGAAGGGGCGGCUAACUCCGUGCCAGCAGCCGCGGUAAUACGGAGGCCCCAAGCGUUGUUCGGAUUUACUGGGCGUAAAGCGUGAGUAGGCGGCAAGGCAAGUUUGACGUGAAAGCCCCGGGCCCAACCCGGGAACGGCGUUGAAAACUGCCUGGCUAGAGGACCGGAGAGGAGUCUGGAAUUCCCGGUGUAGCAGUGAAAUGCGUAGAUAUCGGGAGGAACAUCAGUGGCGAAGGCGAGACUCUGGACGGUUCCUGACGCUGAGGUACGAAGGCCAGGGGAGCGAACGGGAUUAGAUACCCCGGUAGUCCUGGCAGUAAACGGUGCGCACUUGCUGUGGGCGGACUCGACCCCGUCCGUAGCGGAGCUAACGCGUUAAGUGCGCCGCCUGGGGAGUACGGCCGCAAGUUACU